AGUGAGGAAUAGCAGCCAGAAAUUGGAAAACAAAGACACACACGCUACUCAGAGAUAUUUGUUGGAAUCAUUGUCAGAGUUUGUGAGUGAGUGAGUGAGUGAGUGAGGGUAUAACCCCCAUCAUCUUCUCAUUCACCAAACAUCUUAAUCACCCAUUUCUGGUAAUAUAACAACAACCAAGCUAGGUAAGAAAAUGGCGAGAAAGAAGAUACCGAUCAAGAAGAUCGACAACAUAAACGCGAGGCAAGUAACAUUCUCAAAGAGGAGAAAAGGUCUUUUCAAGAAGGCUCAGGAACUGUCAACUCUUUGUGAUGCUCAGAUUGCUCUCAUAGUCUUUUCCGCAACCAGCAAGCUCUUCGAGUACGCCACUUCAAGCAUGCAACAAAUACUUGAAAGGCGUAAUCGGCAUUCAGGUGUUCAAGGAUCAGACAUUUCAUCUACUGGACAACAACAGCUUGGAAGUGAGUCUUUUGACAUGCUGCGCAAGGUUGUAGAAGAUAAGACUCAUGAACUGAGUCAGUUGAAUGGACAAGACUUGCAAGGAUUGACAAUACAAGAAUUGCAGAAACUGGAGGAACUUCUCCAAAGACGUUGGACCACUAUUUCAAAAAUUAAGGAAGAAAAAAUGACACAAGAGAUCAACAGCCUUAAAACAAAGGUAAAUGCUCACACAGGAGGCCGAACUUACAGAAGAGAACCAGAAACUGAAGCAGAAGUUGGUUCGAGAACAAAGGCAGUGUUAUGAGUCAAUUACUAGCAGUUCAUCUGAUUUUCCUGCAGACAAUGGUAGUUCUGAUACAUCUCUCAAGUUGGGGCUGCGUUUAUUUGAAUGAAAUGGUUCAGAGAACCAUAGUGAGAAGUUAACUGGAUUAGCUUCGUUUUCUGUAUGAAAGACAAGAUCAAUGUUGUUUUGGAAUUUGACAAACAAUUUGCUUUUGAUGAGUAGCAGCUGGAAAAAAUUCACAGCUGGGUAACUUAUUUUGUAACCUAAACAGAACAUUGUAAUUGUUAUUAUGCCAUACGUGGCUGGUUAAAUAGACAGGAAUGGUUAUUUUAUAAA
RNA transcript from Vigna unguiculata (cowpea), 1060 nucleotides. It is a transcript of the gene named MADS-box protein JOINTLESS-like, with no coding region annotated. NCBI's taxonomy places the organism in Eukaryota, Viridiplantae, Streptophyta, Magnoliopsida, Fabales, Fabaceae. The record is from RefSeq and is a predicted model, not a curated record.